Molecule: long non-coding RNA, 1350 nt
Organism: Prosopis cineraria
Lineage: Eukaryota; Viridiplantae; Streptophyta; Magnoliopsida; Fabales; Fabaceae
Exons: 2
Source: RefSeq, a predicted model, not a curated record
UCCAUCUCUGACAUGAUAUUACACAGCAAAUGAAUCCCAUCUUUAGAUUAAGUUGACCAAUAUAUAACUGUUAAUUUAUUUACAGGGAAAUCAUAUCAUUUUUGCUCAGCAUACACUUGAGUGGCAAGCAUUUGUUUAGAGGCGUAUAUAUCUAGGGAGAGUUUUAAAGAAAAAAGAAAAAGAAUGGGUCGGGAACGCUAUUACUUCUGUAGAAGAUAACACUUCUGACACGCUGGGAGCCAGAGAUAGCCAAUACGUGAUGUGGCAGUCUCUACUACUCAAAAUGUUAUUGGUGGAGAUGAAAGAUAUAUAUAUAUAUAUAUAUAACAAUUAUUUAAGAGACUUUUGAAUGUUACGGAUACAUAUAGGAGAACAUCAGCGAUAAUACAAGAGGAUAGCUGAGUUUGGCCAUACCGCUUCAGGCGAAAAAUAAAGUUGCGAAGAAGAAGACGAUGAGGCGUCGACGACAAAGAGAGAUGGCUAUUUUUACUUUAGAGAUCCUAUACGGAAUGGGAAUUAACGUUGCUCCAAAACUAGCUAUAAAUUUAAAGAACCAGCUGCUCCAUCCACGUGGACUUUAUUUGGAGCACAUUCAUGACUCACCAUCACACACCCUCUUACAUACACGAAGCAAUCAAGAGGCCCAGCCACAGUUACCAGAAUACCCUUGUUCUAUCCUAUCACAGCAAGGCAAGUGUACAUGAACCCCAUAAAAUUCAAUUCUUGAUAAGUACCGCACCUGUUAAAUCCGUAGAGAUAUCUAAUGGACAUGCAUUAAUCACCUCACCUCAUUCCUUCCGACCCAUCAAUCUUUGCCGUACACGUGUCCGGGAUUUAACGUGUUUCUCGUUUCUCAUUUUCCCAGUAUUGUGAUGACUGAUGAGGAUGGAGAUGAAUGAUGUGAAUACAUGAUUGACAUUGGCAUGCAUGCACGCGUACUUUUGUUAUUAAUGAAUUGCUUAAUGCCAGUUUUAACCUUGUAUAUGUGCAUGCAAGAGGGUGGCGGAUGUGCCGGCUUGUGAUCAAGUAGCCCAGUUGCAGACAAAAGCCAUGAAGAAGGAUGACGACCUCGCUGCUCCAAGGCUGCCCUGCACGGGAGGGAAGCUAGGUUCUUGGAUUUUUGCGUCCAAAAAGAUGUCUGCAUCUUCCCUUCUAAGAUAGAUUCCUGAUAUUUCGUGUGUUUCCCAUUCCAUUUGUGUAAGUUCUUUGAAUUUAAUUAGCUAUGUUGCUACUGCAAAAGGACAAACUCGUAUAGUAGGUAGCUACAAGCUUACGUGCCUCGUCAAGUGUGCGUGUCGACUUCCUUUAUUCCUUGUCCUUUCUAUAUAUCUCUUUUAUCAUUUAAGCUCA